CGGAUCGGAGUCUGCAACCCGACUCCGUNAAGCUGGAUUCGCUAGUAAUCGCGCAUCAGCCAUGGCGCGGUGAAUACGUUCCCGGGCCUUGUACACACCGCCCGUCAAGCCAUGGGAGCCGGGAGUGCCUGAAGGCCGUGACCGCAAGGAGCGGCCUAAGGUAAAACUGGUGACUGGGGCUAAGUCGUAACAAGGUAGC
This 199-nucleotide ribosomal RNA is filed under the name uncultured bacterium. RNAcentral's name for it is "partial 16S ribosomal RNA". It matches the Rfam family "Bacterial small subunit ribosomal RNA", at positions 1294 to 1500 of the family's 1533-position model. The record is from RNAcentral.